Molecule: long non-coding RNA, 1043 nt
Filed under: Panax ginseng (ginseng)
Lineage: Eukaryota; Viridiplantae; Streptophyta; Magnoliopsida; Apiales; Araliaceae
Description: long non-coding RNA (PGIN_LNC014517)
Source: RNAcentral
AUAGUUUUCGGCCCACAUAAAAACUGAGGUGGAAUUUGCCACAUCAACAAAUUAUAAAAUAAUUAUAGAAUAAAUUAUGUCUUUAGCAUUAUUCUUAAUUUUUUCCAUAGUGUAAACUGUGAACAUUCAUAAUUAUUAAAUACCAAAUAAUUCACACAUAAUAUUAGCGAGCAACACACCGACCCAAAAAAGGAAAGAAGAAAAAAAGUGCAGAGCAAAGCAGAAAAACAUAUAAUUGAGAAUCAUAGCCACAUCCUCCUAUCCCAAUAAGGCAAGAAUUCGAAAACUUAAGAAAAUAGGCAGACUAUAGAUUUGUCAAAUGCUUUGUUGGGUUGUUCACAUCAAGGCCAUAAACACAUAAUAAUCCAACAGCCAACUAAAAGCUUGUUGGAUUGUCAAGGAGAGAAAAAUGAUGAAGAAUUCCCGCUUCUAGCCGCACUCUAUUCUUACAUAAAUCAAGCGGUCAAAAAGAAGCACCCACUCUAAAGUUAGCUUUUGUUCUAACCUGGUCUUAUAUCUCUACCUAUCUGAAUGUCGAAGAUGCAACAACCACUCCAUAUGACAUCGGGAGAGAGUGUAAUGGCAUCUGAUCUCAUUGAAUUUAUGAGCGUUCACCCGAGCUUGACCUUUUAUUUAUAUUAUACAAUCACUUGACUUUGCGAAAGACAUACCCGGUUGAGUUCAAUGACAAGAGGGAAGAAGCCCUUGUUCUACCAUUGAUUCACCUUCUUCCCAUGACAUCGACCUAAUCCCAACCAAUCCAACAAGCAAAUUCAUAGGUCUGGUUGACUUGAAAAUAAGAAACUCUCAUCUGAGAACGAGUUCACCCGCCAUUCAUUAAUCGAUUGCUAUCAGUGAAUUUGCAACAAGUCAAAUGAAACUAAUGUAUUAAUUAGUAUGUCCUUAAAAGGAUUGCUGGAUUGGUAUUGACUUUAGAUAAUUGAAGGAAAUAGAGAGACAUUUCUUGUAAAGGUGUAGGCAGGCACCUUAUAGGUAUUUAAAUUAUUUUAUUUGUUUGGACUUUUCAAACCCUUGAAUUAAAC